This 73-nucleotide transfer RNA is filed under the name Stegodyphus mimosarum. It matches the Rfam family "tRNA". From Rfam's summary of the family: Transfer RNA (tRNA) molecules are approximately 80 nucleotides in length. Their secondary structure includes four short double-helical elements and three loops (D, anti-codon, and T loops). Lineage: Eukaryota; Metazoa; Arthropoda; Arachnida; Araneae; Eresidae. The record is from Rfam by way of RNAcentral.
GCCUUCGUGGUGUAGUGGUCAGCACACUGAGCCGGUAUUUCAGAGGUCCGCGGUUCGAUUCCCGGCGAAGGAA